UCAUCGACUUAGUCUGUCUAGCAAGCUUAAGCCGUUAGGUGUAGGCGCAGCGAAAGCGAGUCUUAAAUGGGCGACUUAGUUAGAUGGAUCAGACCCGAAACCAGAUGAUCUAGGCAUGAGCAGGCUGAAGGUUAGGUAACACUAACUGGAGGGCCGAACCCACACCUGUUGAAAAAGGUCGGGAUGACUUGUGCCUAGGGGUGAAAGGCCAAUCAAAUCUGGAGAUAGCUGGUUCUCCGCGAAAGCUAUUUAGGUAGCGCCUCGGACGAAUGCCCACGGGGGUAGAGCACUGCAUGGAUGAUGGGGGCCCACAGCCUUACUGAGUCUAAGCAAACUCCGAAUACCGUGGAGCAAUAUCCGGGAGACACACGGCGGGUGCUAACGUCCGUCGUGGAGAGGGAAACAACCCUGACCAACAGCUAAGGCCCCCAAUUCGUGGCUAAGUGGGAAAGCAUGUGAGACUUCCAAAACAACCAGGAGGUUGGCUUAGAAGCAGCCAUCCUUUAAAGAUAGCGUAACAGCUCACUGGUCUAGUUAAGAGGUCUUGCGGCGAAGAUGUAACGGGGCUCAAGCCACGAGCCGAAGCUUUGGGUGUGCAUUUAUGCACGCGGUAGCGGAGCGUUCCGUGAUAUAAGCUCUUGCCUCUUCUAUCCCUCGGGAUAGCGGAGGCGCGAGCUUUACUGUGAAGCCGGGCCGUAAGGCAUCCGGUGGAGUGAUCGGAAGCGAGAAUGUUGACAUGAGUAGCGACAAACAGGGUGAGAGACCCUGUCGCCGAAAGUCCAAGGGUUCCUGCUUAAAGCUAAUCUGAGCAGGGUAAGCCGGCCCCUAAGGCGAGGCCGAAAGGCGUAGUCGAUGGGAACCAGGUUAAUAUUCCUGGGCCAGGAGAUGGUGACGGAUCGCAGAGGUAGUUCUUCCUUAUCGGAUUGGAAGGGCUGCUGAGUGGUUCCUGGAAAUAGCCCUCCAUGAGACCGUACCCUAAACCGACACAGGUGGACUGGUAGAGAAUACCAAGGCGCUUGAGAGAACCACAUUUAAGGAACUCGGCAAAAUACCUCCGUAAGUUCGCGAGAAGGAGGCCCCGUUGGCAGGCAACUGUCGGCGGGGGGCACAAACCAGGGGGUGGCGACUGUUUACUAAAAACACAGGGCUCUGCGAAGCCGUAAGGCGACGUAUAGGGUCUGACGCCUGCCCGGUGCCGGAAGGUUAAAAGGAGAGGUGCAAGCCUUGAAUUGAAGCCCCGGUAAACGGCGGCCGUAACUAUAACGGUCCUAAGGUAGCGAAAUUCCUUGUCGGGUAAGUUCCGACCUGCACGAAUGGCGUAACGACUUCCC
This 1331-nucleotide ribosomal RNA is filed under the name feces metagenome. Its description in RNAcentral is "bacterial LSU rRNA". It matches the Rfam family "Bacterial large subunit ribosomal RNA", at positions 620 to 2013 of the family's 2925-position model. The record is from RNAcentral.